Long non-coding RNA from Mustela lutreola (European mink), 1991 nucleotides. RefSeq lists it as uncharacterized. NCBI's taxonomy places the organism in Eukaryota, Metazoa, Chordata, Mammalia, Carnivora, Mustelidae. The record is from RefSeq and is a predicted model, not a curated record. The transcript is spliced from 2 exons.
AUUUUUUAAAGAUUUUAUUUGUUUAUUUGACAGAGAUCACAAAUAGGCAGAGAGGCAGGUAGAGAGAGGGGGGGGAAUCAGGCUCCCUGGUGAGCAGAGAACCUGACAUGGGGCUCAAUCCCAGGACCCUGGGUUCAUGACCUGAGCUGAAGACAGGGGCUUUAACCCACUGGCCCACCCAGGCGCCCCUGGACCUGUACCUUUUAAAAAUAUAUACAUAUUAUUUAUUUAUUUGACCGAGAAGGGGCACAAGCAGGGGGAGCAGAGUGGGAGAGGGAGAAGCAGACUCCCCGCUAAGCAGGGAGCUUAAUGCUCGUCUCUAUCCUAGAACCCCAGGGUCAAAACCUGAGCCAAAGGCAGACACUUAACCGACUGAGCUACCCAGGUGCCCCAGAUCUAUACCUUUUAAUGUGGCUUCAUUAAUAGCUCUUCAUUUAUUAGUAUUUAAAAUAUAAAGCUUUCUCUUUUUGUAUUUGUAUUAAGUACAAAUAUUGCCCCCAAUUUGUUAUUGACCUUUUGAACGUAAUGUUUUACUUUUAUUUUCUGCCAUAUGGACAUAAUGUUUUUAAAGAUUUUUAUUUAUUUAUUCAUGAGAGACAGAGAGAGAGAGGCAGAGGCAAAAGGAGAAGCAGCCUUCCUGCUAAACAGGGAGCCCUGAUGUGGAACUCGAUCCCAGGACUCUGGGACUAUGAUGUGAACAAAGGCAGACGCUUCAGCAUCCAAGACCCCCAGAUGACCCUCACUCUCUCUUCCUACUUUUCUUCUGUUUGACACCAUACUUGAAGAAGCCUUUCCAGCCCUUAAUUUUCUAAGUAAUUGCCUGUGUUGGCUCCUGUUUCUCUUUAACACAUCAAUUUUAUGAAGAUAACUGGCAGCCAUCCUCAAGAUUUGUGCAUCAUUCUUCUCUUAAAGUCUUUCAACCAUUUUUUUGCCCCCAAACUAGCACAUUCACGGUGACCAGGAAAUGUCAGAGGCUAAGAAAGCUCAAGUUUCCAAUCUGUAUGAAAGAACUAGUUCUUCUUUGAAGCCUCGGGACAUGGCUUGUUUUAAUGGAAGGGGCCACAGAAGUGCGAGGAAAGUGGCUGAAUCUGAAUUCCCUCUUAUGCAAAAUACUGGUUGGAUGGGUUUACAGGGAAGCUGCAACAAAGUAAGACAACCCAGGGGCCUUAACAACAGAGAUGAAUUGUCUCCAAGUUCUGGAGGCUGGGAGUCUGAGAUCCAGGUGUGGGCAGGCCUAGUUCCUUGGCGGGGUUGGGGGGGGGGUGCGGGGGCUCGGUCCCAUCCUCUCUCCUUGGCUUGUAGCCGACUGUCCCCUCUCUAUGUAUCAUCACAGUCUCUUCUCUCUACCUGGGAGUCUCUGUAUCCAAAUUUUCCUUUUUUCUUUUUUUAAGAGUUAUAUAUUUACUUUAGAGAGAGAGGGCAUGAGCAAGGGGCGGACAGAGGGGGAGAGAGAGAGAGAGAGAGAGAGAGAGAGAGAGAAGCAGACUCCCUGCUGAGUGCCGUGCCUAGCUUGGGGCUCAUGACCUUGAGAUCAUGAUGUCCACCCUAAGGCUUCAUUUUACCUUGAUUUUCCUCCAUAGACACCCACCACCAAAAAAGAAAGAAAAGAAAAAGAAGAAGAAAACAUCACAUUCUGAGAUUGUCUACCAACGGGAGUCUGAGCAGAUGGAGAAGGGACAUCGUGAACAGGACAGAGGACUUGAAUCAGAGCAGCUGAGGUGAAUCCUGGGGUCUUGCUUCAGUCUUUAGCGCAUCACAUCCCUUGUUCUAAAAAACAAAUCCCAGAGGUGCCUAGGUGGCAGUGGGUUAAAGCCUCUGCCUUCAGCUCGGGUCAUGGCCUCAGUAUCCUGGGAUCGAGCCCCGCAUCGGGCUCUCUGCUCAGUGGGGAGCCUGCCUCCCCACCCCUCUCUCUCUGCCUGCCUCUCUGCCUACUGGUGAUGUCUCUCAAAUAAAGAAAUAAAACCUUUAAAAAUAAAUAACUAAAUAACAAA